AACGCACAUUGCGCCCCUUGGUAUUCCGAGGGGCAUGCCUGUUCGAGCGUCAUUAUGACCACUCAAGCCUGGCUUGGUAUUGGGGUUCGCGGUCCCGCGGCUCUUAAAAUCAGUGGCGGCGCCAUCUGGCUCUAAGCGUAGUAAUCUUUCUCGCUACAGAGUCCCGGUGGAUGCUUGCCAGCAACCCCUUAUUUUCUUAGGUUGACCUCGGAUCAGGUAGGGAUACCCGCUGAACUUAA
RNAcentral lists this unclassified non-coding RNA (239 nucleotides) under uncultured fungus. RNAcentral describes it as "sequence contains ITS2". The stretch from base 1 to 52 matches the Rfam family "5.8S ribosomal RNA", at positions 103 to 154 of the family's 154-position model. RNAcentral also lists the same sequence under 1 other name. Lineage: Eukaryota; Fungi. The record is from RNAcentral.